Molecule: non-coding RNA, 197 nt
Organism: Pelobates cultripes (western spadefoot toad)
Lineage: Eukaryota; Metazoa; Chordata; Amphibia; Anura; Pelobatidae
Source: the annotation of a GenBank genome assembly
GUUCCUGGAGGAGAUCACCCAGCUCGUCAUGCUAGAGCACUUUUUCAAUGGGCUCCCCAACAACUAGGCGACGACACAUCCAUACCAACUUUCGAUGCCACUUUCUGCGCCUACCAUGGUGACCACGGGUAACGGGAAAUCAGGGUUCGAUUCCGGAGAGGGAGACUGAGAAAUGGCUACCACAUGCAAGGAAGGCA